UCAAGGGUCGGGCGAGGCGGAGAUCCUCCCUUGGAGGGUCGGGCACGUCCGAUCCCAAACCCCAGGGGUCGGGCGAGGCGGAGAUCCUCCCUUGGAGGGUCGGGCGCGUCCGAUCCCAAGCCUUAGGGGUCGGGCAAGGCGGAGAUCUCCCUUGGAGGGUCGGGCGCGUCCGAUCCCAAACCUUAGGGGUCGGGCGAGGCGGAACUCCAAGGAUCAAUCGGCCGAUCCUCGACUAUAGCAUCAAUUGGCCGAUUUCCAAUCAUCGCCCUUGUAUCUCGCCGCAUCUUCCAAUCUCUUCUUCUCCUAACGCCGAUUUUACUCGUGUCAAAAUCUGGCGUCAACACAUGCCCCCCAGUUUCGGAGUAAAACAUAGUAUUUACUUCGAAAUUCUUUUCAACUUCCCAU
This 405-nucleotide long non-coding RNA is filed under the name Setaria viridis. Its description in RNAcentral is "long non-coding RNA (SVIR_LNC005520)". The record is from RNAcentral. Lineage: Eukaryota; Viridiplantae; Streptophyta; Magnoliopsida; Poales; Poaceae.